Molecule: long non-coding RNA, 553 nt
Organism: Monopterus albus (swamp eel)
Lineage: Eukaryota; Metazoa; Chordata; Actinopteri; Synbranchiformes; Synbranchidae
Exons: 3
Source: RefSeq, a predicted model, not a curated record
GCAGCAACCAGAGCAUUCAACUUACAAUUGUACUCAGUCAGGUAAUACUAGCUUCAAACUAGAGGCUGCAUUUUGAAUAGUUUGUCGCAACCAGGCAUCCGUAGUUUACAUCGUUACUAGGAAAAUUAUGCUGCUAUAUUAGCAGUAUGGCGAACCAAGACACAACUGAAACGUGCGGGCUUCCGUGGCCAUAUUGUACAUGCCUACCACACUCCUCUUGCAACCCCUCACACCCCCGACCAGUAUGAAUUUUUAAGAUAUUAAGUUUGCGUGAGGAGGAUGGAGAGGGGACUGACCCAGAUUUUCCUUUGCCAUGGGCCAUCGUGGACACUGAGAAGGAAAGACUCAUCUUUGAGAAAGAUUAAGAGGAGAAUGCAAGAGGUGCUGAGAGGAUUCAGCAGCAGAUGUAGCACAGCCAGAGAGGUGGCUGCUGAUUCUCCCAUAAUUCCCCGGAAGAGGAGAUCUAGGAACAAAGGAGCCAACAUUCCCCAGAUCUCAACAAUGUGUCCGCUACAAUUAAUCAUUUUAUUCUAUUUGUUUUAUUAAUGGGUUC